GUGGCUAUUCCUUCUAUGUUUA
Molecule: microRNA, 22 nt
Filed under: Sus scrofa (pig)
Lineage: Eukaryota; Metazoa; Chordata; Mammalia; Artiodactyla; Suidae
Description: ssc-miR-376b
Gene: ssc-miR-376b
Source: miRBase by way of RNAcentral